UACGUAGGUGGCAAGCGUUGUCCGGAUUUACUGGGCGUAAAGAGCGCGCAGGCGGUCGUUCAAGUCGAGUGUGAAAGCCCCCGGCUCAACUGGGGAGGGUCAUUCGAUACUGAUCGACUUGAAGGCAGGAGAGGGAAGUGGAAUUCCCGGUGUAGUGGUGAAAUGCGUAGAUAUCGGGAGGAACACCAGUGGCGAAGGCGACUUCCUGGCCUGUUCUUGACGCUGAGGCGCGAAAGCUAGGGGAGCAAACGGG
RNAcentral lists this ribosomal RNA (253 nucleotides) under uncultured bacterium. RNAcentral describes it as "partial 16S ribosomal RNA". It matches the Rfam family "Bacterial small subunit ribosomal RNA", at positions 524 to 776 of the family's 1533-position model. The record is from RNAcentral.